This 130-nucleotide ribosomal RNA is filed under the name Staphylococcus pseudintermedius. RNAcentral's name for it is "partial 23S ribosomal RNA". It matches the Rfam family "Bacterial large subunit ribosomal RNA", at positions 2793 to 2925 of the family's 2925-position model. Lineage: Bacteria; Bacillati; Bacillota; Bacilli; Caryophanales; Staphylococcaceae. The record is from RNAcentral.
CCCCCCUCGAGAUGAGAUUUCCCAACUUCGGUUAUAAGAUCCCUCAAAGAUGAUGAGGUGAAUAGGUUCGAGGUGGAAGCGUAGUGAUACGUGGAGCUGACGAAUACUAAUCGAUCGAAGACUUAAUCAA